AACUGACAGUGCUCAGUCCUUCAGGAUGAUUCUCCUGUGCCUUGUCCUAUUUCUACCACGGUGCUUGUCACAGGCAAUGAAGCUGCCCAUUACUGCCUGUUUUGCCCAUCAUUGUGUCAACUCAGAGUAGAAAUCAUGCUGGAUUGUACAGGGUGCUUAAUUUUAAACAACUUGAUCAAAGGUUUUACCCCUGUUGGGCAAAUGGAAAUGUGCUCUUGGCUUACAGAACAGUGAGGCCUCUUGCUGGAGUUACAGUGUGAAUAGCUCAAUAGCUCAAGGAACACAAAUCUCUCCACCAGCAACUACAGAUCCCACCUCCUCUUUGUGGCCUCCCAGUUCCCAGGCCACCCUCUUUGAUGGUCCAGCUGUUCAGCUGCGUCCAGCUCCUAAAUGACAAGAGUCCCCGUCCUAUAUCAUUGGCUAACUUCUGAGAGAAAUGACUAAGAGAGAAGACACAUCUACUAACUCCCUCUGCUCUGGAAGCUCCUGGAAGAUGCAGCACAGAGCCAGGGACAAAAUAAUUUCAACAGAGUAGGAGGAGAAUCCUGGCUGACAUCUAAGCUGUGACAGAGAGAAGAUGCAGUCUCUGGAGGCUGUGCGUGCACACCUGAGCCCCGAUGGUUCACUGCCAUGCCCAGCAGCGGCCUACCAGCUCCAACCCCCGAAAUCACCUCUUGGCAUCUGCAUCCCCACAUGAUUUGAGAUGUCUGUCGCCCAAGCAUCUGAGCUGCCUUGUCCCUUUUCUGCUUCAUUCUCUUGAAAAAGUGCAACUACAAAAGGGUGACCCACAAAACCCCAUAAAACCAAGUUCUUAGUAUAGUGGAGUUCAAUCAACUUCGUGAAGGAAAAAAAAAGGCUCUUUUAUCUCCACUACCACAAAGGAGUAGGCAGUCAUAGACAGCACUCCCCCAAUCCCAGUAAAAAAAGAAACAUCUUCAUGACAACAUAACAAAUAAGACUGAGAUUCUAUUGACUCCAACCACAUUGGCACACUGCCAAAAGGAAGGGGAGGGCAAAGUCUGAGGCCUGGUUUAAUGUCCACAGUAGAGAUGGUCAUUCCCUGGUGUUUGUCAAAUCUAACCUCCUAUCUAUGGAAACUGGAGCGAGGCAGAGUAAUAGCACAGCCUGAAAACAGUGUGGGCUGGCUCUCCACUGUGUAAAUGGGGCAGGCAGGGGCAUUUAAUAGAUGUUCUACUAGGAAUACUUGCUCUCCUAGCAAGGCAAACCCCUUUUGGAGAGGAAAGAAUGGAUGCUGAAAGCCACUGUCUCCUGGGAGCUACUCUGCUCAUCUGUGCAACAAGGCCAUAAGCAAACAUCUCUCUAACAAUGCAAACAAACCAAGCUACUGUAGGAGGCAUUUAAAGAGUGAUGGGUACAUGAUGUAUCAAAACUUUCUUGUUUCUGAAUACUGGUUACAGAGAAAAUACAUCAGCUACCAAUUUAUUAAUCGUGUCACAGAAUGCCGGGAAAGGGCUCAACCUCCUGGGAGUUAUAAGGGGUUCUUGAUAUUGUGGUUUUGUUGUUCCUUACCCUUACAUCAGCUCCUAAAAGUCUCAUCUGUAAUGGUCCAACUGUUCUCAAAAAAUUAUUUCAUGAUAACAGGAGGAAAGGCUGACGGGUGGUGCAACCCUCUUUGAAUAUCUUUCUAGCAAAGUUACAAUACAGAAGGGAUCCUCUCAGAUGGGUUAAGGGCACCUCCUAGGUAAACCCACCUUCCAGCCUGGAACCGUAUGGUGAAAGAGAACCUGCAAGUCGUCCUCUUAACUCUACACACUGCCAUGUCAUGAAUGUCCUUUCCCAAUAAAUGUUUAUAAAAAAUUAAUGAGUUAAGAACACAAAGUGCCACUAACCGAUAAUGCCCUUGAGGUCUUUUUAAUACUGGCUAAUGCUAAGCUAGAUUCCCUAAUCACCACCACCGCUGUCUGUGAAGAAAGGUUAUCCGCGAUGGGAAAAAGGGGGGUGGGGAGAGUCAAACCCGAGGCUUAGGGAAGCCCUUGGGGGUGGGGUUCGGCGAGGAGCUCCUGCUCUUGAACGCUUUUGUCCCCUCCUACAGCACACCCCUAAAAGCCCAGUCCCAUUCUGCCAGGGACUGGCUGCAGGCCAACUUCGCGUUUCUAACGAGAGUCUCGUCAGCAUAGAGGGGUCGUGACCUCUGUUCCCCAGGCCGCCCCGGAGUUCAGAGCGGGCCACACAGGGCAAAAAUGCUGUGUCAGUAGCCGCAGGCUGGAGUUCCUGGGCCCGGGGGAGUCCGCUCAAUGUUACCACCACGCAAGAUAGGGUCCCCUCACCUCCAUCGGUUGAUGCCCACUGACGAGGAGGCCGCGAACCACGGGUCGAGGAUGUAGACGCAGCGCACACAGCGCGCCCCGCGCACGGCAGCUAACAGCGCGGGGUUGUCGUGGAGCCGUAGUCCUUUGCGGAACCAGUGCACGGAGGACGCGCCGUCCGCGCCCAUCGACUGCGCGGGGACCGUCGCUGCCACCACAGCAGCCGCCGCCAUCGCCGCCCGGACUGGGUCUUGGUCUGCUGCUCCGCCCCUGGCCACACCGUCGGUCCCGCCCAGUGCCCGCCCAGCGGCCUAUAAUGCAGCCUCUCCCUGCCAUAGCUCCACCCCAAGGAGCCUGAAUCGUCUCUGUGAUUGGGUGACACCGGGUGGGUCCCUCCCUCUGUUCCAUUGGUCGGCAGCGCCGACGCAGGCCCCGCCCCCUCACGUUCCCACCAUGUGUGGUCCGGGCUUGGUAGCCACCGGUCGGUGACGCAGGAUGGCGCUGUGCCCGCCCCGCGUGGGCUGAGUCUGGAGGGACCCCGGAUCUCCUACGCAUUUCGCGUCUCCUACGCAAAUAGGGAUUGAGGUGACUCCGGCCGGUGGCUGACAGAUCUGUCACCAGGCCCUUUCUUGCAGUACGUUGUACUGUUCAUAUUCGAGGCUGGCUGAGCAGUGAUUGCCUUACACAAACUGUCCUAUUUUCUAUUUUCAUCCCGGUUACGUUCAUUCCACAAACACGAAUAAAACAGAUGCUUGUUAGUCUUA
This is a long non-coding RNA of Rattus norvegicus (Norway rat), 3031 nucleotides long. RefSeq lists it as uncharacterized. NCBI's taxonomy places the organism in Eukaryota, Metazoa, Chordata, Mammalia, Rodentia, Muridae. The record is from RefSeq and is a predicted model, not a curated record.